GACGAACGCUGGCGGCGUGCCUAACACAUGCAAGUCAAGGAGAAGGAUUCCUUCGGGAGUCCGGAUACUGGCGCACGGGUGAGUAACGCGUAGGUAAUCUGCCCUAAUCCGGGACAUAACGUCGGGAAACCGGCGCUAAUAUCCCAUGAGGUACUUCGGUAUCAAAGCUUCGGCGGUUUAGGAUGAGCCUGCGUCUGAUUAGCUUGUUGGUGAGGUAACGGCUCACCAAGGCUGCGAUCAGUAGCUGGUCUGAGAGGACGAUCAGCCACACUGGAACUGAGACACGGUCCAGACUCCUACGGGAGGCAGCAGUGAGGAAUAUUGGUCAAUGGGGGAAACCCUGAACCAGCGACGCCGCGUGUGGGACGAAGGGGCUUUGCCCUGUAAACCACUGUUGAGAGGGAAGAAAUGCUUUUU
RNAcentral lists this ribosomal RNA (417 nucleotides) under uncultured bacterium. Its description in RNAcentral is "bacterial SSU rRNA". It matches the Rfam family "Bacterial small subunit ribosomal RNA", at positions 28 to 458 of the family's 1533-position model. The record is from RNAcentral.